Molecule: ribosomal RNA, 464 nt
Filed under: Neisseria subflava
Lineage: Bacteria; Pseudomonadati; Pseudomonadota; Betaproteobacteria; Neisseriales; Neisseriaceae
Description: bacterial SSU rRNA
Rfam family: Bacterial small subunit ribosomal RNA
Source: RNAcentral
AUUGAACGCUGGCGGCAUGCUUUACACAUGCAAGUCGGACGGCAGCACAGAGAAGCUUGCUUCUUGGGUGGCGAGUGGCGAACGGGUGAGUAACAUAUCGGAACGUACCGAGUAAUGGGGGAUAACUAAUCGAAAGAUUAGCUAAUACCGCAUAUUCUCUGAGGAGGAAAGCAGGGGACCCUCGGGCCUUGCGUUAUUUGAGCGGCCGAUAUCUGAUUAGCUAGUUGGUGGGGUAAAGGCCUACCAAGGCGACGAUCAGUAGCGGGUCUGAGAGGAUGAUCCGCCACACUGGGACUGAGACACGGCCCAGACUCCUACGGGAGGCAGCAGUGGGGAAUUUUGGACAAUGGGCGCAAGCCUGAUCCAGCCAUGCCGCGUGUCUGAAGAAGGCCUUCGGGUUGUAAAGGACUUUUGUCGGGGAAGAAAAGGACAGGGUUAAUACCCCUGUCUGAUGACGUACCUGA